This 252-nucleotide ribosomal RNA is filed under the name uncultured bacterium. Its description in RNAcentral is "partial 16S ribosomal RNA". It matches the Rfam family "Bacterial small subunit ribosomal RNA", at positions 524 to 776 of the family's 1533-position model. The record is from RNAcentral.
UACGUAGGUGGCGAGCGUUAUCCGGAAUGAUUGGGCGUAAAGGGUGCGUAGGCGGCCUGCUAAGUCUGGAGUGAAAGGUACCGGCUCAACCGGUACAGGCUCCGGAAACUGGGAGACUUGAGUGCAGAAGAGGAGAGUGGAACUCCAUGUGUAGCGGUGGAAUGCGUAGAUAUAUGGAAGAACACCAGUGGCGAAAGCGGCUCUCUGGUCUGUAACUGACGCUGAGGUUCGAAAGCGUGGGUAGCAAACAGG